This 497-nucleotide ribosomal RNA is filed under the name uncultured bacterium. Its description in RNAcentral is "partial 16S ribosomal RNA". It matches the Rfam family "Bacterial small subunit ribosomal RNA", at positions 28 to 507 of the family's 1533-position model. The record is from RNAcentral.
GAUGAACGCUGGCGGCGUGCCUAAUACAUGCAAGUCGAGCGAACAGACGAGGAGCUUGCUCCUCUGACGUUAGCGGCGGACGGGUGAGUAACACGUGGAUAACCUACCUAUAAGACUGGGAUAACUUCGGGAAACCGGAGCUAAUACCGGAUAAUAUAUUGAACCGUAUGGUUCAAUAGUGAAAGACGGUUUUGCUGUCACUUAUAGAUGGAUCCGCGCCGCAUUAGGUAGUUGGUAAGGUAACGGCUUACCAAGGCAACGAUGCGUAGCCGACCUGAGAGAGUGAUCGGCCACACUGGAGCUGAGACGCGGUCCAGACUCCUACGGGAGGCAGCAGUAGGGAAUCUUCCGCAAUGGGCGAGAGCUUGACGGAGCAGCGCCGCGUGAGUGAUGAAGGUCUUCGGAGCGUAAAGCUCUGUUAUUAGGGAAGAACAAAUGUGUAAGUAGCUGUGCACGUCUUGACGGUACCUAGUCAGAAAGCCACGGCUAACUACGUG